RNAcentral lists this ribosomal RNA (393 nucleotides) under uncultured bacterium. RNAcentral describes it as "partial 16S ribosomal RNA". It matches the Rfam family "Bacterial small subunit ribosomal RNA", at positions 523 to 918 of the family's 1533-position model. The record is from RNAcentral.
AUACGGAGGACGCGAGCGUUAUCCGGAUUCAUUGGGUUUAAAGGGUGCGCAGGCGGCCGUGCAAGUCAGCGGUGAAAGCCCGGGGCUCAACCCCGGAAGUGCCGUUGAUACUGCAUGGCUGGAAUGCGGUCGAGGCGGGCGGGACGUGGCGUGUAGCGGGGAAAUACGUGGAUAUGCCACAGAACGCCGAUAGCGGAGGCAGCGCGCCAGGCCUGCAUUGACGCUCGGGCACGAAAGCGUGGGGAUCGAACAGGAUUAGAUACCCUGGUAGUCCACGCCGUAAACGAUGGGCGCUCGUCGUCGGCGGCAGACAGUCGGCGGCCAAGCGAAAGCGAUAAGCGCCCCACCUGGGGAGUACGGUCGCAAGGCUGAAACUCAAAUGAAUUGACGGGG